GACCUGAGCUCAGGCAAGAACACCCGCUGAACUUAAGCAUAUCAAUAAGCGGAGGAAAAGAAACUAACCAGGAUUCCCCUAGUAACGGCGAGUGAACCGGGAAUAGCCCAACUUGAAAAUCUCUUCGGAGAAUUGUAGUCUAUAGAAGCGCCCUCUGUGGCGGCAGGAGCUCAAGUCUGGUGGAAACCAGCGUCAGAGAGGGUGAGAACCCCGUCGGCUCUAUGCUUAGCUGCUUCACGAGGUGCUUUCCACGAGUCGGGUUGUUUGGGAAUGCAGCCCUAAAUUGGAGGUAAAUCCCUUCUAAGGCUAAAUACUGGCGAGAGACCGAUAGCGGAACAAGUACCGUGAGGGG
RNAcentral lists this ribosomal RNA (352 nucleotides) under Chloromonas fonticola. Its description in RNAcentral is "eukaryotic LSU rRNA". It matches the Rfam family "Eukaryotic large subunit ribosomal RNA", at positions 1 to 360 of the family's 3401-position model. Lineage: Eukaryota; Viridiplantae; Chlorophyta; Chlorophyceae; Chlamydomonadales; Chlamydomonadaceae. The record is from RNAcentral.